RNAcentral lists this ribosomal RNA (253 nucleotides) under uncultured bacterium. Its description in RNAcentral is "partial 16S ribosomal RNA". It matches the Rfam family "Bacterial small subunit ribosomal RNA", at positions 524 to 776 of the family's 1533-position model. The record is from RNAcentral.
UACGUAGGUGGCAAGCGUUAUCCGGAAUUAUUGGGCGUAAAGAGCGCGCAGGUGGUUAAUUAAGUCUGAUGUGAAAGCCCACGGCUUAACCGUGGAGGGUCAUUGGAAACUGGUUGACUUGAGUGCAGAAGAGGAAAGUGGAAUUCCAUGUGUAGCGGUGAAAUGCGUAGAGAUAUGGAGGAACACCAGUGGCGAAGGCGGCUUCCUGGUCUGCAACUGACACUGGGGCACGAAAGCGUGGGGAGCAAACAGG